GCGAGUGAGGCGCAACUGGCUGCGCACCGGUCUUCCAAACCGGAGGUAAUGGGUUCAAGUCCCGUCACUCGCU
This 73-nucleotide transfer RNA is filed under the name Acidobacteriota bacterium. RNAcentral's name for it is "tRNA-Gly". It matches the Rfam family "tRNA". From Rfam's summary of the family: Transfer RNA (tRNA) molecules are approximately 80 nucleotides in length. Lineage: Bacteria; Pseudomonadati; Acidobacteriota. The record is from RNAcentral.